This is a non-coding RNA of Arachis ipaensis, 608 nucleotides long. NCBI's taxonomy places the organism in Eukaryota, Viridiplantae, Streptophyta, Magnoliopsida, Fabales, Fabaceae. The record is from RefSeq and is a predicted model, not a curated record.
CUUUUAAGAAGGGGACAUGAACUUAUAUAAAGUUUUGUCUAUUGUAAGAGAGAAAGAGAAGAUCUAUGGCUAAAAAUUUUGCGGCGCAUGCAAUUGUAAUAUUGAUUACUGGAGUCGUAAUAAUUUCUUCUGGCAAUGUUAAAUUCCAAAAAGUUAUCGUUGCAGAAUCUUCGGCUACAUUUGGUAAUAUUAGUGAUAUUAAAGUCCAUAAAGCCGUUGCCGAAUGUGUCAAGCGAUGUCAGAAACGUUAUGAACAUGACCAAUUGAAAAUGGAAAUUUGUAUUAAGUUGGACUGUAUUGCGUUCGAAUGCAUUAAACACUAUCCACUUGAUAAAGAGAAGAUCGUGGCAUGCAUUGACGAACUUCGUGUUCAUUAUUACAAGAAGUAGCAAUGUAAUAACGGUUGGCAAAUUAGAAUUGACAUAUUAAUAAAUCCUCCGUCGAAUGGAAGAAAAUAUUAAAUAAAUUGAUCAGAUUAGGAAGAAAUUCGUCUUGCUUAUUUUUAAUACUUGUAAUGCUUUUAUUAUGAUCUUUGCUUAUAGUAUGGUUCAAUUAUCAUUAAGUCACAUGGAAAGGUUAUUAUUAGUAAAAAUUAUUAAUUCUUUUUA